This 66-nucleotide transfer RNA is filed under the name Acentrogobius viridipunctatus (spotted green goby). Its description in RNAcentral is "tRNA-Lys". The record is from RNAcentral. Lineage: Eukaryota; Metazoa; Chordata; Actinopteri; Gobiiformes; Gobiidae.
AUAUAUGUCCUAAAGCAUUAUAUAUAUGGUUUACAUAAAUAUAUGGUGUUAAUACAUAUAUGUAUU